This 253-nucleotide ribosomal RNA is filed under the name uncultured bacterium. Its description in RNAcentral is "partial 16S ribosomal RNA". It matches the Rfam family "Bacterial small subunit ribosomal RNA", at positions 524 to 776 of the family's 1533-position model. The record is from RNAcentral.
UACGGAGGGUGCAAGCGUUGCUCGGAAUUAUUGGGCGUAAAGGGUAGGUAGGUGGUCUCAUUUGUCUGAGGUGAAAGCCCUGGGCUUAACUCAGGAAGUGCCUCAGAAACGGUGAGACUGGAGUCCUGGAGAGGGUCGUGGAAUUCCCGGUGUAGCGGUGAAAUGCGUAGAGAUCGGGAGGAACACCAGAGGCGAAGGCGGCGACCUGGACAGGCACUGACACUCAACUACGAAAGCGUGGGGAGCAAACAGG